AUGUGUCUGGCCCGUCAUCAGGACCUGUUUGCUCUGGGAGACUCUACCAGGGGCAUCAAGCCCCCCGACAAGAUAGCUCCUGGGAUCACGCAGGCACUCAAACUCUCCCAUCACUUUAAGAGUUUGUUUGUUUCACAGUCAGAGAGUGGUGUCUCUCUACAGUCAGAGGUUUUUGUACAGUGGCUCAAUGAGUUUGUAUCACUGUGGUACACGUUCGGUGGAGGAACCAGACUGGAUGUUGGAAGUGACAGGCCCCCCACCCUGACGGUGCUGCCCCCCUCCAGAGAGGAGCUGCAGCAGGGGAAGGCCACGCUCAUGUGCCUGGCCAACAAGGGCUUCCCCUCAGGCUGGAGUCUGAGCUGGAAGGUGGAGGACAGCAGCAGCAGCAGCAGCUGGGAGGAGAGCAGGAGCCCCGGGGUGCUGCAGAAGGACGGCCUCUACAGCUGGAGCAGCACCCUGAGGCUCCCUGCAGACCAGUGGAGGAAGGUGGGCUCUGUGACCUGUGAGGCCACCCAGGGCUCCCAGACUCCCCUCAGAGAGACACUGAGGAGAGACCAGUGUUCCCAGUCCUGACCGGACUCACUGGGACUCUCACACUGCUUUGACUCUCACACUCAUCUCACCUCUGUCAUUCACUCUCUUUCAC
This is a non-coding RNA of Salarias fasciatus (jewelled blenny), 646 nucleotides long. NCBI's taxonomy places the organism in Eukaryota, Metazoa, Chordata, Actinopteri, Blenniiformes, Blenniidae. The record is from the annotation of a RefSeq genome assembly.